This 1946-nucleotide ribosomal RNA is filed under the name human metagenome. RNAcentral describes it as "bacterial LSU rRNA". It matches the Rfam family "Bacterial large subunit ribosomal RNA", at positions 3 to 1977 of the family's 2925-position model. The record is from RNAcentral.
UCAAGUUACAAAGGGCGCAGGGCGGAUGCCUUGGCACCAGGAGCCGAAGAAGGACGUGAUAAGCUGCGAAAAGCUGCGGGGAGGAGCAAAUAUCCAUUGAUCCGCAGGUAUCCGAAUGGGGAAACCCGGCAGAAAGAACUUCUGUCACCGUAUGAUGAAUCCAUAGUCAUACGGAGGGAACCCGGCGAACUGAAACAUCUAAGUAGCCGGAGGAAGAGGAAGAAACAUCGAAUCCCUAAGUAGUGGCGAGCGAAAGGGGACGAAGCCCAAACCAAGGAUUUAUCCUUGGGGUUGAGGACCACAUACGAAGAAGCAGUAGGUAGCAGAACGGUUUUGGGAAAGCCGGCCAUAGAGAGUGAAAGCCUCGUAUGCGAAACAGACUGUGAUUCAGUGGUAUCCGGAGUACUACGGGACACGAGAAACCCCGUAGGAAGCAGGGGGGACCACCCCCCAAGGCGAAAUACUACCUGGUGACCGAUAGAGUAUAGUACCGUGAGGGAAAGGUGAAAAGAACCCCGGGAGGGGAGUGAAAGAGAACCUGAAACCCUGUGUCUACAAGCUGCGGAAGAGCGACUAACGCUCGACCGUGUACUUUUUGUAGAACGGUCCGGCGAGUUGCCGUUGCUGGCAGGUUAAGUACUUAAGGUACGGAGCCGAAGGGAAACCAAGUCUUAAUAGGGCGGUAAGUCAGUAACGGCAGACCCGAAACCGGGUGACCUACCCAUGGCCAGGAUGAAGUCUGCGUAAAAGUGGAUGGAGGUCCGAACACACGUCUGUUGAAAAAGGCGGUGAUGAGCUGUGGGUAGCGGAGAAAUUCCAAUCGAACUCGGAGAUAGCUGGUUCUCCCCGAAAUAGCUUUAGGGCUAGCCUCGGUAUAGUCUAAUGGAGGUAGAGCACUGAAUCGCUGCGGGGGCGUCAAAGUCUACCAAUGCGUAUCAAACUCCGAAUGCCAUAUAGAUGUUUACCGGGAGUCAGACUGUAUGAGAUAAGUCGGACAGUCAAAAGGGAAACAGCCCAGACCAUCUGCUAAGGUCCCAAAGUGUAUGUUAAGUGGUAAAGGAUGUGGGGUUUCGAAGACAACUAGGAUGUUGGCUCAGAAGCAGCCAUUCAUUCAAAGAGUGCGUAAUAGCUCACUAGUCGAGAGGUCCUGCGCCGAAAAUGUCCGGGGCUGAAACAUAACACCGAAGCAAUGGAAUAUACCGCAAGGUAUGUUGGUAGGGGAGCAUUGAUAACACGAAGAAGCGGUACCGUAAGGAGCCGUGGAGAGUUAUCAAGAGAGAAUGCCGGAAUGAGUAGCGAGAUGAAGGUGAGAAUCCUUCAGGCCGUAUAUCCAAGGUUUCCAGGGUAAAGCUGAUCUUCCCUGGGGAAGUCGGGACCUAAGCUCAGGCUGAGAAGCGUAGGCGAUGGACAACUGGUUGAUAUUCCAGUACCUCUGGCUAUCAGAAAUGUGGGGACACGGAGAUUCAGGGAGUGCCUGUAAAGGAUUCAGGUGCAAGCAUGGUUUAUGCCGGGCAGGCAAAUCCGUCCGGGUAAGUGAACUGUGUGAUGCGGACCGAAAUAUAAGUAGGGAAGCUCCUGGGAGAGCCGUCGAGAAAAGCCGCUAUUGUGUAGUCAGAGCCCGUACCGUAAACCGACACAGGUGGAUGGGGAGAGUAUCCCAAGGCCGGCGGGAGAAGCAUUGUUAAGGAACUCGGCAAAAUGGCCCCGUAAGUUCGCGAUAAGGGGUGCCUGUAGAGAUACAGGCCGCAGAGAAUAGGCUCAAGCAACUGUUUAGCAAAAACACAGGUCUAUGCGAAACCGUAAGGUGAUGUAUAUGGGCUGACGCCUGCCCGGUGCUGGAAGGUUACGGGGAGUGCUUAGGAGCAAUCCGAAGGUACGAACUUAAGCCCCAGUAAACGGCGGCCGUAACUAUAACGGUCCUAAGGUAGCGAAAUUCCUUGUCGGGU